RNAcentral lists this ribosomal RNA (253 nucleotides) under uncultured bacterium. Its description in RNAcentral is "partial 16S ribosomal RNA". It matches the Rfam family "Bacterial small subunit ribosomal RNA", at positions 524 to 776 of the family's 1533-position model. The record is from RNAcentral.
UACAGAGGUCCCAAGCGUUGUUCGGAUUCAUUGGGCGUAAAGAGCGUGUAGGCGGCUUUACAGGUCCGUUGUGAAAACUCGAGGCUCAACCUCGAGACGCCGGUGGAAACCGUAAGGCUAGAGUCCGGAAGAGGAGAGUGGAAUUCCUGGUGUAGCGGUGAAAUGCGCAGAUAUCAGGAGGAACACCCGUGGCGAAAGCGGCUCUCUGGGACGGUACUGACGCUGAGACGCGAAAGCGUGGGGAGCGAACAGG